UAGGGAAUCUUCGGCAAUGGACGAAAGUCUGACCGAGCAACGCCGCGUGAGUGAAGAAGGUUUUCGGAUCGUAAAACUCUGUUGUUAGAGAAGAACAAGGACGUUAGUAACUGAACGUCCCCUGACGGUAUCUAACCAGAAAGCCACGUCUAACUACGUGCCAGCAGCCGCGGUAAUACGUAGGUGGCAAGCGUUGUCCGGAUUUAUUGGGCGUAAAGCGAGCGCAGGCGGUUUCUUAAGUCUGAUGUGAAAGCCCCCGGCUCAACCGGGGGGGGUCAUUGGAAACUGGGAGACUUGAGUGCAGAAGAGGAGAGUGGAAUUCCAUGUGUAGCGGUGCAAUGCGUAGAUAUAUGGAGGAACACCAGUGGCGAAGGCGGCUCUCUGGUCUGUAACUGACGCUGAGGCUCGAAAGCGUGGGGAGCAAACAGG
Molecule: ribosomal RNA, 429 nt
Filed under: Gemmatimonadota bacterium
Lineage: Bacteria; Pseudomonadati; Gemmatimonadota
Description: Gemmatimonadetes bacterium partial 16S ribosomal RNA
Rfam family: Bacterial small subunit ribosomal RNA
Source: RNAcentral